Molecule: ribosomal RNA, 465 nt
Filed under: uncultured bacterium
Lineage: Bacteria
Description: partial 16S ribosomal RNA
Rfam family: Bacterial small subunit ribosomal RNA
Source: RNAcentral
GACGAACGCUGGCGGCGUGCUUAACACAUGCAAGUCGAACGGAAAGGCCCCUUUGGGGGUACUCGAGUGGCGAACGGGCGAGUAAGACGUGCGUAACCUGCCCUUGACUUCGGGAUAACUUCAGUAAACUGGGGCUAAUACCGGAUAGGAAUCCUUGCUGCAUGGUGGGGGUUGGAAAGCUUCGGGCGUUUUGGCUGGACUCGCGGCUUAUCAGCCUGUUGGUUGGGUGGUGGCUUACCAAGGAUUUGUCGGGUAGGCGGCCUGGGUGGGCGACCGGCCACAUUGGGACUGAGAUUCGGCCCAGACUCCUACGGGGGGCAACAGUGGGGAAUAUUGCACAAUGGGCGGGAGCCUGAUGCCGCAACGCCGCGUGCGGGAUGACGGCCUUCGGGUUGUAAACCGCUUUCCGCAGGGGCGAAGCUUGUGGUGACGGUACCUGCAGAAGAAGCACCGGCUAACUACGUG